GUUGUUGUUUAUGUAAGAAUUUCAAGGCCACAACUCCAUAUUUGAAGUAAAGUGCUCAUAAAAUUAAUUGCAAGGUUUUGAGAAGCCAUCUGCAGCUCACAACUAGAUGAGUGACACAAUCAGAUGUGCGUAUGCAAAAAAAAGCCUGGAGACAUUGAACUAAGAUCAAAUUUAAUGUAUUAAAUAUGGUAGAAAGAAGAGAGAAUGAAAAAUAAUGUUAACAAUCUAGGUGAGGAAUUGCUGAGGAGACAAAUUAAGUAAAUCCUGUGGAAGGAAAGAAGAAAGGAGGAAAGAGGAUUGGAUGGAAGAAUCUCCACUUCUCAUAGGUGUAGUCCUUCCUUAGCCUGCUUUUUAAUGAGUGCUGCUAAAGCCCUUAGCCUGCCUGUUUACCCUUGGAGUGAAUCCGUGGAAGACCCCCAAAAGAGGCUGCAGAUUCUUAGUGGACAGCUCUCAUAUCCCCUCCAGGGAAAAUGAUGAAAAAUGUCUUCAGAAAAAUAGCUUUAUGAAGGCAAGAGGACUUUUUGCACCUGCAAGACAUGUCUGAAAGCUUCCAUCAGAUUCUUGUAAGUACCUCACUUGGCACAAGGUAGACAUGACGUUCAAGGAAGUCAACUGCGUUGCCCAAGAGUAAGAGAAGGAAUCUCUGAAGAAGAGCAACUUUUCAGACAGGUAGAGUGUGCCUUGCUCCCAAGGAAAAGAGUUCUUGAAAAAAACAAAUGGGAAACAUGGCUACAAGAAAACUGGGAAGACUGCAAGAAAAUCUCAGAAUCUGCUUGAGAAUCCGGUCCUUCUUCCUCCAUACACCCAUGGAACACUCCCAAACUCUGUAUGCUGCUCACUAAUUCUGAUUAAGGUCUUCACCCUCCCUACCUUGGAAAUUGCUACAACAUAAUUGUGUUUAAUUUGAACAUUUCAUUUCAGGGUUUGGGGGAUCCUUACCAAGUUGAAAAUUUUAACAGAAUUCUUAGAAGACUAAUUCGAGUUGAAACCCUCUGUUACCAAGGAUACCUCAGAUACAGCAUUUAUCCUUGGCCGAAAACCACAUUGAGACUCUUACUGGAUUCUCCAGUUUACGGUGCACUCCACUGGAAUCCCUUAUUCUCAAGAGGAACCCUUAGUAUUCUCCUGUUUGCCAAACUUAAAAAUGCUGGAUGGAAUCUUGAAGCUACCAGAAGAUUGCUUAUCACCAGAAACCAAUAUUUUUUCAAAAAUAUGCCUUGUAUCCUAAUGCAGUCUGUAUAGAAAGAAAGCAAUCAUCAUUGUUGCUAAAAGCUAAUAAACACAGGACAUGCAUGAUUAAAUAUUGCAGUUUAUUUUAUAUCUUUUUGCUUUUCUAAAUCAAGGUAGGAAAAUAUUUUCUGUAAAGGACCAGAUGGUAAACAUUUCAGGCUUUCUGGGCUAUAUGGUCUCUGUCACAACUACUCAACCCUGCCAUUGUAGUGCAAAAGCAGCCAUUGAUAAUAUGUAAAUGUAUGGGUGUGUCUGUGUCUCAGUAAAACUUUAUUUACAAAA
Homo sapiens (human) is the source of this 1512-nucleotide long non-coding RNA. Ensembl annotates it as leucine rich repeat containing 77, pseudogene. Its record names the gene LRRC77P. NCBI's taxonomy places the organism in Eukaryota, Metazoa, Chordata, Mammalia, Primates, Hominidae. The record is from Ensembl.